Molecule: ribosomal RNA, 457 nt
Filed under: uncultured bacterium
Lineage: Bacteria
Description: bacterial SSU rRNA
Rfam family: Bacterial small subunit ribosomal RNA
Source: RNAcentral
UGGAGGCAGCAGUGGGGAAUUUUUCUCAAUGGGCGCAAGCUUGAAGGAGCGACGCCGCGUGGGGGAUGAAGGGCUUCGGUCCGUAAACCCCUGUCAUUUGCGAACAAACCUUCUUAUUUAAAAGAUGAGAAGCUGAUAGUAGUGAAAGAGGAAGGGACGGCUAACUCUGUGCCAGCAGCCGCGGUAAUACAGAGGUCCCAAGCGUUGUUCGGAUUCACUGGGCGUAAAGGGUGCGUAGGUGGUGGGAUAAGUUCGGUGUGAAAUCUUCGAGCUCAACUCGGAAAUGGCAUCGAAUACUAUCCGGCUAGAGGGUUGGAUGGGGGACUGGAAUUCUUGGUGUAGCAGUGAAAUGCGUAGAUAUCAAGAGGAACACCAGUGGCGAAGGCGAGUCUCUGGACAACUCCUGACACUGAGGCACGAAAGCUAGGGGAGCAAACAGGAUUAGAUACCCUGGUAU